RNAcentral lists this transfer RNA (108 nucleotides) under Chroococcidiopsidales cyanobacterium LEGE 13417. RNAcentral's name for it is "tRNA-Gly". Lineage: Bacteria; Bacillati; Cyanobacteriota; Cyanophyceae; Chroococcidiopsidales. The record is from RNAcentral.
GGGUAGGGUUGGGGUAAAAUUUUCGCUCGAUGACUGAAACCCUUGUAAAUUCAACCUUUUCCAUAGCCUUCCAAGCUAUUGAUGCGAGUUCGAUUCUCGCUGCCCGCU